Molecule: unclassified non-coding RNA, 528 nt
Filed under: Lodderomyces metapsilosis
Lineage: Eukaryota; Fungi; Ascomycota; Pichiomycetes; Serinales; Debaryomycetaceae
Description: Candida metapsilosis sequence contains 18S rRNA gene, ITS1, 5.8S rRNA gene, ITS2, 28S rRNA gene
Rfam family: 5.8S ribosomal RNA (bases 199-352)
Source: RNAcentral
GUAACAAGGUUUCCGUAGGUGAACCUGCGGAAGGAUCAUUACAGAAAUAGGAGAAGGUUGCUUAACUGCAAUCCUUUUCUUUCUACACAUGUGUUUUUCUUUUUUUUGAAAACUUUGCUUUGGUGGGCCCACGGCCUGCCAGAGAUUAAACUCAACCAAAUUUUUAUUUAAUUGUCAACUUGAUUAACUAAUAGUCAAAACUUUCAACAACGGAUCUCUUGGUUCUCGCAUCGAUGAAGAACGCAGCGAAAUGCGAUAAGUAAUAUGAAUUGCAGAUAUUCGUGAAUCAUCGAAUCUUUGAACGCACAUUGCGCCCUUUGGUAUUCCAAAGGGCAUGCCUGUUUGAGCGUCAUUUCUCCCUCAAACCUUCGGGUUUGGUGUUGAGCGAUACGCUGGGUUUGCUUGAAAGAAAGGCGGAGUAUAAACUAAUGGAUAGGUUUUUUUUUUCCACUCAUUGGUACAAACUCCAAACAUUCUUCCAAAUUCGACCUCAAAUCAGGUAGGACUACCCGCUGAACUUAAGCAUAU